RNAcentral lists this ribosomal RNA (75 nucleotides) under Metabacillus litoralis. RNAcentral's name for it is "Bacillus litoralis partial 16S ribosomal RNA". It matches the Rfam family "Bacterial small subunit ribosomal RNA", at positions 1 to 73 of the family's 1533-position model. The record is from RNAcentral. Lineage: Bacteria; Bacillati; Bacillota; Bacilli; Caryophanales; Bacillaceae.
CUUUAUUGGAGAGUUUGAUCCUGGCUCAGGACGAACGCUGGCGGCGUGCCUAAUACAUGCAAGUCGAGCGAAUCA